This 1060-nucleotide long non-coding RNA is filed under the name Arachis ipaensis. RNAcentral describes it as "long non-coding RNA (AIPA_LNC000194)". The record is from RNAcentral. Lineage: Eukaryota; Viridiplantae; Streptophyta; Magnoliopsida; Fabales; Fabaceae.
GUAGGACCAAUAAUAAAUAUGAAAGAGAAACUAUUCAAAGAUAAAAGAUCAUACUUUACUCUCUAAAGUGAAAUUUAAACUUUAGAAGAUCCAAAUCUUUUGUAAUUAUAAUGCAAUUGAAAUACAGAUACUAAAACAUAAAUACACAUAGACACCGCCUCUCGCGUGCUCGAGCUCCGGCCCAAAAUCUGAAGUAAACCCUAACCUAAAGCGCAGCCUCUUUUUUCUCUCUUCUUCUUUGCGCAGCCCGCCUUUUCUCUCAACCAGCAAGCUCGUCGUCCCUCCAUCACUAUCAACCCAACCUCCGGCCUUCAAAGAACCACCACCGACCAACCCCUUCUUCUCCUUUUUUUUCUUUCCACUCCUCCCUUCGAGCCUACCUUCCCUUUCCCCUUUCUCGUUGUCCCUCUCUCUCAAUCGAGCGCCACCUCUCCGUUGAGCCUCCCACCGCCGCCGUCCAAGCCGCGGCCACCAACCUUUUCUUCUUCCUCUUCUUCUCCGUUCGGCCUCACCCUAGUCGCACAACCAUCUCCUUCGAACCACACCCUCACCGAAUAGAGCUCCGAAGCCCUAUCUCUCUCCCUCUCUCCCACUUCCAUCUUUGCCGCCCGCCACCUUCAGCCGCCGCGGCUGUCUUCUUCUCCUUCUUCUCUUCUUUUUUUUUUUUUGUUUUUCUGUGGCCCUAACUCAGCUCUUUCCUCCAACUUCAUUUCUUGCGAACUGAAUAGCGAAGCAGCCUUUAUUGUUUUCAAUUUCGACGAGCUUCGCCACUCCAACUACUACUCUUUGCCGAUUUUGGCUUUGGCAACAAAAUAGUGCCACUCCAAUCCUUUCCCUCUUAUAUUCUGUCAGUAUUCAUUAUUUUAAGUUAUUAAUCACAUUUUUUUUUGUAUUCAGUUGGUAUUAAUUUUAUGUUGAUUUUAGUUAGAUAGUCUAACUUAGUUAACUUUAACUUUUAAGUUGUUAAAUGAGGAUUGUUAAGAUAAUUAGUAUUAAAAUCCGAGUGACUGAAAAUGUUUGGAAUUUUUUAUUCUGAUGAAUGCUGAGACUAUUCAGUUAA